AAGUGCUGUAAGUGUGGGCUCAUCAUCAGCAGUGGGAGCUGGGGUUAAACCUUUAAAAGAGCAUGUGUGUGUAGAUUUUUCACCUGGUGGCUGAAGGUGAGAAUUUGUGGCUGUGGCUUCUGUUCGUUGUCAGGGGACGGCGUGAGAAGAGGCGGAGUGUGGAAAGCCAGAAGGCGUGUGCCUCGAAGGAGCACUCGUGCCUGCAGGAUUUGACCGCUCAACGCCACGGGAGCAAAUGAGGCCCCCCAGGGGCCUGGACAGGCACGGUCACGGGAUGGCCCGCUCCCCAGCGAGCCCAGGGCAGCCUCAGACACCCAGCUCCACACGGCCUCCCAACGGCUCCUGCCAGCCCACCGACGUGCCGUGGCAGGAGCACACCAGCCCCUUCCCCACUCUACCUGGAGACACGGGGGGGUCCCGGGCGCUCCGGAGCGCUGCAGCGCGACAUGGGCCACAACUAAGGCAGGCAUGUGAAUCCCCUUAAACUCCUCACUUGAUGCCUCAUACGCUGUCACUCUUUGCAAAGCCAGUCGUGAAGCUUUUUUGUCCAAAGCAAUUCAUUAUAAACUCCAUAUUCUUUAAAAACUUCGAUGCUGUGACAGUGCAAACAGCAUUCAUUUUAUUGCUCAACUUCGGCAUGGGCACAUACAUAGUUAAUUUUUAAAAACCAUUUAUACAGAUGUUAUUGAUAAAGCUCAUGUAACAACGGAGUGAAAAUACAAAGAAUAUCAAAGCUAAAACACUCUGUAAUAAAUACAAGUACAAUGAAAACGAUAAAACUUUGUUUUUAAAGUCAGUUUGAGAGAAGGAAGAAUAUUACAUUAAGUGGACUAAUUACAUCUAGAAACAAAACAACUCAGCGCUUGGUACAAUCGUCACCCUCACGUAAGAGCGCUCGAUACCACAAAUGGCACCUGUCGGCCGUGUGCUGCAGCUGAACAAAACAGGCAGAAAAGAGCUGCUCUAUCAAACCGUAACGACGACCGGAACAAUCUCUAACUCCCAACAGUGCAACCAGUUCAAUGCACUGGAAGGUCAAAGCAGACUUAGUGUUGUAAAAGAAAGCAAAUUACCUUGGAUUUAAAACGAAAGGAAAUCUGUGCUCUGAACUGUAGGGGGGUAAAAAAAAAAAAAAAAAAAAAAAAAAAAAAAAAAAAGAC
Molecule: long non-coding RNA, 1160 nt
Organism: Leopardus geoffroyi (Geoffroy's cat)
Lineage: Eukaryota; Metazoa; Chordata; Mammalia; Carnivora; Felidae
Exons: 2
Source: RefSeq, a predicted model, not a curated record